CCCUUAGAUGUCCGGGGCCGCACGCGCGCUACACUGAAGGAAUCAGCGUGGCUUUCUCCCUGACCCGAAAGGGUUGGGAAACCCGUUGAAUCUCCUUCGUGAUAGGGAUUGGGGCUUGAAAUUGUUCCCCAUGAACGAGGAAUUCCCAGUAAGCGCGAGUCAUAAGCUCGCGUUGAUUACGUCCCUGCCCUUUGUACACACCGCCCGUCGCUACUACCGAUUGAACGGUUUAGUGAGGGCCUCGGAUUGGUCUCGGCCCGAUCUUUACCGGGCGGCGCCGUUGGUCGAGAAGACGCUCGAACUUGAUCGUUUAGAGGAAGUAAAAGUCGUAACA
RNAcentral lists this ribosomal RNA (334 nucleotides) under uncultured eukaryote. RNAcentral describes it as "partial 18S ribosomal RNA". It matches the Rfam family "Eukaryotic small subunit ribosomal RNA", at positions 1470 to 1796 of the family's 1831-position model. The record is from RNAcentral.